This 424-nucleotide ribosomal RNA is filed under the name uncultured bacterium. RNAcentral describes it as "bacterial SSU rRNA". It matches the Rfam family "Bacterial small subunit ribosomal RNA", at positions 508 to 930 of the family's 1533-position model. The record is from RNAcentral.
GCAGCCGCCGCGGUAAUACGGAGGUGGCGAGCGUUGUCCGAAGUUACUGGGCGUAAAGCGCGCGUAGGCGGGGAACCAAGUCCGCUGUGAAAGCCUGAGGCUCAACCUCAGCGGGUCGGUGGAUACUGGUUCUCUUGAAGGUGCUAGGGGGAGAUGGAAUUACAGGUGUAGCGGUGAAAUGCGUAGAUAUCUGUAGGAACACCAGUGGCGAAGGCGGUCUCCUGGGGCAUUCUUGACGCUGAGGCGCGAAAGCUGGGGGAGCGAACGGGAUUAGAUACCCCGGUAGUCCCAGCCCUAAACGAUGGAUACUAGGUGUCGGGGGUAUCGACCCCUCCGGUGCCGUCGCUAACGCAGUAAGUAUCCCGCCUGGGGAGUACGGCCGCAAGGUUGAAACUCAAAGGAAUUGACGGGGGCCCGCACAAGG